AGAGUUUGAUCCUGGCUCAGGAUGAACGCUAGCGGCAGGCUUAACACAUGCAAGUCGAGGGGUAGUUGUCUUCGGACAAUGAGACCGGCGCACGGGUGCGUAACGCGUAUGCAAUCUACCUUUCACAGAGGGAUAGCCCAGAGAAAUUUGGAUUAAUACCUCAUAGUUAAUAAAAAAGGCAUCACUUUAAUUAUAAAGUCACAACGGUAUAAGAUGAGCAUGCGUCCCAUUAGCUAGUUGGUAAGGUAACGGCUUACCAAGACGAUGAUGGGUAGGGGUCCUGAGAGGGAGAUCCCCCACACUGGUACUGAGACACGGACCAGACUCCUACGGGAGGCAGCAGUGAGGAAUAUUGGACAAUGGGCGCAAGCCUGAUCCAGCCAUGCCGCGUGCAGGAUGACGGUCCUAUGGAUUGUAAACUGCUUUUAUACGAGAAGAAACACUGAUUCGUGAAUCAGCUUGACGGUAUCGUAAGAAUAAGGAUCGGCUAACUCCGUGCCAGCAGCCGCGGUAAUACGGAGGAUCCAAGCGUUAUCCGGAAUCAUUGGGUUUAAAGGGUCCGUAGGCGGUCUAGUAAGUCAGUGGUGAAAGCCCAUCGCUCAACGGUGGAACGGCCAUUGAUACUGCUGGACUUGAAUUAUUAGGAAGUAACUAGAAUAUGUAGUGUAGCGGUGAAAUGCUUAGAGAUUACAUGGAAUACCAAUUGCGAAGGCAGGUUACUACUAAUGGAUUGACGCUGAUGGACGAAAGCGUGGGUAGCGAACAGGAUUAGAUACCCUGGUAGUCCACGCCGUAAACGAUGGAUACUAGCUGUUGGGGGCAACUUCAGUGGCUAAGCGAAAGUGAUAA
Molecule: ribosomal RNA, 849 nt
Filed under: Oryza sativa Indica Group (long-grained rice)
Lineage: Eukaryota; Viridiplantae; Streptophyta; Magnoliopsida; Poales; Poaceae
Description: bacterial SSU rRNA
Rfam family: Bacterial small subunit ribosomal RNA
Source: RNAcentral